UACAGAGGGUGCAAGCGUUGUUCGGAAUUAUUGGGCGUAAAGUGUGCGUAGGCGGUGCUGUAAGUCUGUAGUGAAAUCUCUGGGCUCAACUCAGAGUCUGCUAUAGAAACUGCAGUGCUAGAGUGUGGGAGAGGUGAGUGGAAUUCCCGGUGUAGCGGUGAAAUACGUAGAUAUCGGGAGGAACACCUGUGGCGAAAGCGGCUCACUGGACCACAACUGACGCUGAGGCGCGAAAGCUAGGGGAGCAAACAGG
Molecule: ribosomal RNA, 253 nt
Filed under: uncultured bacterium
Lineage: Bacteria
Description: partial 16S ribosomal RNA
Rfam family: Bacterial small subunit ribosomal RNA
Source: RNAcentral